CCUACGGGAGGCAGCAGUGGGGAAUAUUGCACAAUGGGGGAAACCCUGAUGCAGCGACGCCGCGUGAGUGAAGACGUCUCUCCGUAUGUUAAGCUCUUUCCGCAGGGAAGAAGAAAGACGCUACCUGACUAAGACGCCCCGGCUAACUACGUGCCAGCAGCCGCGGUAAUACGUAGGUGGCGAGCGUUAUCCGGAUUUACUGGGUGUAAAGGGAGCGUAGACGGCUGUGCAAGUCUGAGGUGAAAGCCCAGGGCUCAACCCUGGGACUGCAUUGGAAACUGUGGGGCUAGAGUGCUGGCGAGGUAAGUGGAAUUCGUGGUGUAGCGGUGAAAUGCGUAGAUAUUAGGAGGAACACCAGUGGCGAAGGCGGCUUACUGGACAGUAACUGACGUUGAGGCUCGAAAGCGUGGGGAGCAAACAGGAUUAGAUACCCUGGUAGUC
This 441-nucleotide ribosomal RNA is filed under the name uncultured bacterium. Its description in RNAcentral is "partial 16S ribosomal RNA". It matches the Rfam family "Bacterial small subunit ribosomal RNA", at positions 338 to 795 of the family's 1533-position model. The record is from RNAcentral.